RNAcentral lists this long non-coding RNA (1567 nucleotides) under Homo sapiens (human). Its description in RNAcentral is "HSALNT0055599". The record is from RNAcentral. Lineage: Eukaryota; Metazoa; Chordata; Mammalia; Primates; Hominidae.
CUGUUUACAAACUUGACGUACACACGCAGUCCUAUCCCUACGGUCCUGGAAUUGGGGGUUACUAUCUUGGAAUCUAGGGGCACUCCAGGCUCUGGGCUCAGACGGCUGGCUUCUGCCUACCCGAGCCUUAACCUUUCAAGGACCAGAAGGAUUCCAGAGCUCUUGCCCUAGGUCCUGGGGCAGCGAUGACUCACUGCAGCACCCCCUCCCACUUCGCCAAGCUGCCGUCUCCGCCCACCCCCAAACAAUCUCGACAGCGCAUUUCGGGAGCCACGGCUCCGGGCGCUUUGCUGGGGGCUAAAGGGGUUUAUCCCUUUCCUUGAAUCCCAGCAGGCUAGAACUACCCCCUCCCAGUCUUCAGGCUUGCCACGCUCUCCACCCGAUCCUUCCAUUGAAAGGCAGAGAAGGAAGGAUGUGCUUGGGAACUUUAAGACCCACGAACGACAGCGCACUGAUGGAGCAGCCCAGUGUCUGGGGCAAAGUCCUCGAGGUUCAUUCAUUCAGGAAGCCUCUGACCAGCCUUUACCAUGCGCUGAGUGAGAAGCUGAGGAUAAGGAAAGAGCAAGACCCCCAAGAAACCCUGAUGUCUGGCUGAAAGCCGAAGCAUGACGCAACUUUGCUAUAUUUCUCUCCAACAAGGAUUUGUAUAUUUUCGCUUUCUCCUCAAGUAACACCUGGACCUGCUCCUUUCCCUUCAAACGCUGAGGGCUCAGUCUCCAAGUUCCUUUAUGAAACAGGGUGUACCAUCAGAGACGCAGGAGACUUCAGAAAUGAAGAUGCAAAGACAACAGGGGAAACCAUAUAUGUUUAUGGACAGUCAUGCCAAAGUAUGAUUGGAAGACAAAAAGAUUUUUGGCCAAUUCACUGCUCACUAACAUCUCCAUCAAAGGGAAAAACACACAUUGUAAAAUAAGAAUUCUUCAAAGACAACUUGAAGACAUCUGGGAAUUCUGAAGCCUGAAAAUUCCAUGAGUUCAUAGCAGUGUUCACUAAUUCCACUGAUCUAAAGACAAAAAGGAGAGUCAACUGCGUGCCCAAACUCAUUUCUGAUGAUUUCUUCCAUCCUAACUUUUCUGCCUCUCUGGGGGUGGUUAUGCCUGUGAAAAACAUUGAAGCUGUCAGGAACAGAGUCGGCUUUCAAGAUUGGAAUGUCAAAGUAGAGUCUUCUUUUCCUCAGACCAGAAGGGGCUUGGUUGGGUAAGAGUUUCCAGAUCUAAAUGGAGACAGGACUGGGAUAUAGGAGCUUGUACGGAUAAACAACACAAACACCUUGGUUGAAGAAACCGAAGCACAAAGAAUAACUUGUCCAAGAUCACAGAGUUUAGGAAGUAAGGAAGCAGGGCUUUGAGCUUUGCAUCAAGUGAUGACCCAUAAAUGCAAAUGGAAUACAACAGGAGUGGGUCCCUAAAGUCCCACCCAGAGAAUGCCCUUCUGCCAAAAAAUUUCGGAUUGAAACAGCAAAAACACCUAAGCAACUGAUAGUCAGGUAUGGUAUUUUUCGAUGUCCAACUAUAGAACUGAAAAGAUCUUUUCUAUGGUUAGUCUACACGAAUUUCUGUUAAAGAAG